This 573-nucleotide long non-coding RNA is filed under the name Trifolium pratense (red clover). RNAcentral's name for it is "long non-coding RNA (TPRA_LNC013303)". Lineage: Eukaryota; Viridiplantae; Streptophyta; Magnoliopsida; Fabales; Fabaceae. The record is from RNAcentral.
AGCGAUGCUAUACAUCGCGAAAGAAUGUUUCGUGAAUUUUCACGAACACUGUCUUUUGUUGCUUUCCGCAAAUAUUAUACAAAAAAUAAAACCACUAUUAAAGUAGUAUUACUCUGUGUCGGUCACACCACUAGAAUUAUUGCUCUGACACACUUUGAACCAAUAUCACUGCUCACUCUAAUCUGCUGGUAAUAAAGUAAUAUCAUUAGGUUCUUCUAGUCAUCAAAGUAUUUUCAAUGCCGUGAACAUCUUUAGGCUAACUUCCUAAGCUCUUUUCUUCUAAAUUUUAAUCAUUUUCUUUUUGUAUGAUGAGAUAUCGAUGUUCUACUUUGGCAUUCCUUUAUAGUGUGUUACAGACAUACACAGAGGUGUGAAAACACAGAUGCUGGAGCUGAGGCGAGUCUACUUUUGUGGGCAAGGAUAGAUGAGAUGGAAUGGAAGCUGUGAAGCGGUUGAGAUGGAAGAAAACCAGAAAUAGGGUCAUCACAAUACUAAGGGGGAAAAUUAUUGCACCAAAAAAAAUGCUAAAGAGGGGAAAGAAACGCAUCACGCAUGAGAGAGAAACACGCGUUG